Paramuricea clavata is the source of this 409-nucleotide non-coding RNA. Lineage: Eukaryota; Metazoa; Cnidaria; Anthozoa; Malacalcyonacea; Plexauridae. The record is from the annotation of a GenBank genome assembly.
GUCAACAUUCCAUGUGGGAUGCUCGUUGGAGCGUUGACUGACUGACCGAACGCACGCGAUUUCAUUAUGAAACGUAUGAAAUACAGUAACAGCAUGCACAUUGAAGCCUAGAAUUGCAGGAUUCAUUUAAACGACAGUCACUGUUUUCAUAACAAAGAUCUCCAACACAAUUCGACUUGCAUUCUUUCUCUAUUUCACCUGAGUGACCAAUCCACGAUACAACAAUAUUUUCCAGUAGCGAUGUUGAAUCUUGGGUGCAUUUACCAACAGCAAGGAUUGGGGUAUACCUAUCAUGAGCAGUUGAUUUGGUGACUAGUUAAGGGAGCCGGCCGUUACAAUGUUAAUUUAAACGACAGUUACUGUUUUCAAAACAAAAAUCUCCAACACAACUCGACUUGCAUUCUUUUUC